This 465-nucleotide ribosomal RNA is filed under the name uncultured Klebsiella sp. RNAcentral describes it as "bacterial SSU rRNA". It matches the Rfam family "Bacterial small subunit ribosomal RNA", at positions 338 to 795 of the family's 1533-position model. The record is from RNAcentral. Lineage: Bacteria; Pseudomonadati; Pseudomonadota; Gammaproteobacteria; Enterobacterales; Enterobacteriaceae.
CCUACGGGAGGCAGCAGUGGGGAAUAUUGCACAAUGGGCGCAAGCCUGAUGCAGCCAUGCCGCGUGUGUGAAGAAGGCCUUCGGGUUGUAAAGCACUUUCAGCGGGGAGGAAGGCGUUAAGGUUAAUAACCUUGGCGAUUGACGUUACCCGCAGAAGAAGCACCGGCUAACUCCGUGCCAGCAGCCGCGGUAAUACGGAGGGUGCAAGCGUUAAUCGGAAUUACUGGGCGUAAAGCGCACGCAGGCGGUCUGUCAAGUCGGAUGUGAAAUCCCCGGGCUCAACCUGGGAACUGCAUUCGAAACUGGCAGGCUAGAAUCUUGUAGAGGGGGGUAGAAUUCCAGGUGUAGCGGUGAAAUGCGUAGAGAUCUGGAGGAAUACCGGUGGCGAAGGCGGCCCCCUGGACAAAGACUGACGCUCAGGUGCGAAAGCGUGGGGAGCAAACAGGAUUAGAUACCCCUGUAGUC